GACCAUAUGUCACAUCUCGACCCUUAUAUUUUUACCUUAUUUACUAGCGUGUUUAUAAUAAGAAUUUUACCGUCCCGAUCAUUGAGUAAAUAGUUUAAUUGGUCCCUAGAGGGGUUUCGGGGACGAUUAUGUGCGGAGGAUAAUUCGUAUGAGGAAAAUACGACGACGGUAAAAAUGGUAAAUUUUAGCUAGUAAAAGGUAAUUUUUAUUCGGGUAUUAUUUUUCGGGGUGUUUUUAUUUUUGGAAGUUUGGGUUAAGUGUUGUGGACUGGGUUGGGGUGAGGCCCAAAACCUUUUUUCUCUUCUUCCUCUCUCCCGAUUUUCUCUCCUCCCACCCGGUUUUCCCCUCUCUACACCCAGAAGAAUUUCCGGCCGCCCUCCCGCCGCCGUCCGGCCUCCGUUCGCCGCCGGACCGGUCCCGUUCGGUCGGUCUCCCUCCCAGCUUCCAUUCUAGGCCGGUAGCAGCCCCCCUAGCGCCGCCGUGAGAGAGCGGUGCCGCCCGAAAGCAAAGGCUAUCCCGAACUUCCCUUCGCCGGAACUUCCUCCUCCGGCCACCAAUCCGGGCAAGCUUGGUACGGUUUUGUAGCCCUCCUCCCGUACAACAACCCCUCCAAGCAGCUCCCUCCCUCUUGAGCUAGGUAAGGAGAAAUGUGGAGUUGAAAUUUCUAGGCUUUUAAGUUAUUUUCGUUCGAUUAGCCUAGUUAGGCUUGGAAUUGGGUGAUGUGUUGGUCAUGAAAGUUGUAGAGGAGAUUGAGAGGAAGAUUCUGUUAAAAUUUGGUAGCAUUUGCAGGUCGCCGGAGUUGGUCGCCGGCCGCCGCUGCCGGCGGAGCCGCCGGCGGCGCCGCCGCCGGUUAGGAGAUUUUUAUGGUUUUAAAUGUGGAAUAUUAAGAGGAGUAUAUUGGUGUGAUUUAUGGAAUUUUGGGAGGAGAUUUGGAUAGGUUUGUGAAUUUCCAAAGUGUGGUAUUUUUGGCGGGUAAUUAAUGUAGAAUCCGGCCGUAGGAUUUAAGUCGUAUUUUGGAGAGGUUGUAUUUACGACUGUUGAGUUUGAUAUUUAAGUUCGGAUCGUUCCGAUGUAAGAAUAUCGAAGUUAGGCAAUGAUGAGCGUAAUUAUGGCUCUCGGGUAAUUUUGCCUAUUUUGAUUAAAUAUUGGAUUAUUUGGUUGGGAAUUAAUAUUAUAUUUGGAACAGGACGUGAGGAGGCUCGAGCAGACGAGACCCCAGAUCGACAUCAGGCUUAGGCCUAAUUUGUGAGUGGACUCUUAUUUGAAAUAAUAUGCAUGCUAUGGUUCAUGAUUGAACAUUUCCUUUUGUUGGAGUUUUGACGUCAAUUAAUUUUGACGCUUUUAUUUCUCUGAGAGAGAGUUACCGAAAAUGGGAUUUUCGGUGAAUAUAAAUAUGAAUAUAUGAGAGAGUAUGUAUAGAAAAUGCUAGCUAGCCAUAUGUGUCUGUCCACCUUAAUGGCGUAGCAUAUAGCCGCAUUAUGGUGUGACGUGAGCGUUGGACGUAAGCGUAGUAGCCCUAUUUGAGUGUUUAAUUCAUAUAGGGGGUAUGGACACAUAUUUAUACACCCGUCUGUCCACCUUGAUGGCUAGUGUAGCACCGCAUUAAGGCGUGACGUGAGCGUUGGACGCGAGCGUAGUAGCCCUAUAUAGACCCAUGAAUUUAUAUAGGGAGUAUGGACGAGUGUAAAUACAUACAUAUAUUAUAGAGUCUGAGAGGCUCGAUAUUUUAUGGGAUAAAAGUUUUAUCGCUUGCGGCAUGCAUUCGAUUUUUCCUUAGAAAUUAAUUUGGGGAAACAUAAAUAUUUUAAUUAUUAGUUUAUUUUUGUCCACUCACUCUAACGUUAUUAAAUGUUUUCCCCUGGGCCCUUCGUUUUAAAUUGCCCAGUCUGCAGAGUUCGGGUUGGAUCUAGUAGGAGACGAGGCAUAGUCACCCGCUUUUCUGCCAGUUUUCGCCAGUAGGUUACCUGUUCAACCUACUCGUGUUUUCUUGCUUCCGCUUGUGUUUAGUAGCUCUGAAUACUUUAGAAUUUUUGUAUAUUAUGUGUUAAAUUAAGAGUGUGAUAUUAAUUUUCGAGUUAGGGUUGUCCAUCUGCAAGGGAGAUUUUCUCAAUCUUUUCAGUAAAUUUUCCUUGGAGGUGGUCCCCGCACGACUUAUUCUGGGUUUCAGGGUGAAAUUCGGGAUGGGUCGUGUCACCAUAUAAAUCACAAAUACAUUAUGACUUGCGUAGAACGUUGUAAAGUCAUUGAAGAUGAGAUAGGUUGAGGGAAAAUGAAACACAUUAUGACAUGCAUCUCUCAAUGUAAUUUCCACUUCAUAACUUAAUUAGUUGAUUUUUUGUAUAGAAUUAACAAGAUUUAGUCACAGCAUCUCCAGUUGCAUAAGAUUACACGACCCUUACUUCUAAUUUCCAGUAAUGCAUGUUAAACCUAUAUGUUACAUAUCUUGAACAAGUAAUAUCCAUCAUGAUAAUUUCGUUUGUGCAAAGAAAAAGAAAAAGACAAAAAAAAGGGAAAAAGCCCUAAUGCACAAAAUAGAAAAAGUCAAACCCCAUUUCAAUGAUAAUCUUUUUUAUUAGCCCAUUUAAAUACAAGGUACUUAUUUUAAGCCCAAAUACACAAAUCUUUAUUAAAAUAUAAUAAAAUUAUAUUUUUAAAGACUUUUUUACCCUUAGCUUUUACUUAAAGAGAAAAAGUGAAAAAGAUGGAGAGAAGAUUUUGCCGGAAGCACACCGGGCUCCGGCGCCAGUCACCGGCGGCCGCAUUCCGGUCGCCGGACUCCGAACUCCGGCCGCCGGAAUCCGGUCACCGGUGACCGGAAUUUUCCGACGACCAGAAAAUUGCCUAGUAAACUUUUACUACCCCCAGUAAUCCUUUUUACUACCCCUAGUAAACUUUUAUUNNNN
RNAcentral lists this long non-coding RNA (2903 nucleotides) under Fragaria vesca (wild strawberry). Its description in RNAcentral is "long non-coding RNA (FVES_LNC002228)". The record is from RNAcentral. Lineage: Eukaryota; Viridiplantae; Streptophyta; Magnoliopsida; Rosales; Rosaceae.